RNAcentral lists this non-coding RNA (437 nucleotides) under Bos taurus (domestic cattle). Its description in RNAcentral is "Eukaryotic large subunit ribosomal RNA". It matches the Rfam family "Eukaryotic large subunit ribosomal RNA", at positions 1456 to 1888 of the family's 3401-position model. The record is from Rfam by way of RNAcentral. Lineage: Eukaryota; Metazoa; Chordata; Mammalia; Artiodactyla; Bovidae. RNAcentral also lists the same sequence under 1 other name.
GGGAGUAGCAAAUAUUCAGAUGAGAACUUUAAAGGCUGAAGUGCUGAAGGGUUCCAUGUGAACAGCAGUUGAACAUGGGUUAGUCCUGAGAGAUCGGCAAGCGUUGUUCAGAAGGGAUAGGCAAUUGCCCUCAGCCAAUUAAAAGGGAGUCAGUUGGAUUCAGAUCCCCAAUCCAGAGUGGCGGAGAUGGGCUCCAGGAGGUGUCCAGUUUAAUAAUGCAACCAAUCCCCGAGAGGCUGAUGGGAGCCAGUGGGGUGCGGGGGAGUUCUCUUAGUUCUCUUUUCUUUGCCAAGGGCAGGGCACCCUGGAAUGGGUUUGCCUGAAGAGAGGGGCCUGUGCCUUAGAAAACAUUGUUGUUCCCUGGGGAGAGGUUGUAAAUCUCCUGCUGCACUGUACCCAUAUCCUCAGCAUGUCUCCAAGGCGUACAGUGUCUGACA